UCCCUGGUGGCUUAGCUGGUUAAGAAUCUGCCUGCAAUGCAGAAGACCUGGGUUCAGUCCCUGGGUUGGGAA
This is a non-coding RNA of Bos taurus (domestic cattle), 72 nucleotides long. Lineage: Eukaryota; Metazoa; Chordata; Mammalia; Artiodactyla; Bovidae. The record is from Rfam.